Cucumis sativus (cucumber) is the source of this 82-nucleotide non-coding RNA. The record is from Rfam. Lineage: Eukaryota; Viridiplantae; Streptophyta; Magnoliopsida; Cucurbitales; Cucurbitaceae.
UCAGGCCAAUGAUGAUUGAUACUUUGCUUUGCCUACACUGUCUGAUAAUUUUAUGAUUGAGAACACUCUGUCUGAAGCCUGA